UGUUUGCUUGCUUGUAUAGUCUAAGCUGGUUAAAGAGAAAGUUUCGAAAAAUGGGGUUGAAGAAAAGACUUGGUGAUGCCCCAGAUGAAAGAUAGAGGUGUUAAUGCAAACCCCAUACAAGCUCCGUCGUUUGCUAACCAGAAAGUAUGAGAUAUGUGUUGGAAGAGACGUAGUUGAUGAGAUCAAUUGAUCCUGAAGGAGUGUUACUGAGAAGGAAGCGACAACUCUGAAGAAGAGUGUACUACAGCAAAGGACCGAACUAUAUAUGGCAUAUAGAUGGAUACGAUAAAUUAAACGAUAAAUUAAAGCCGUAUGGACUCUGCAUCCAUGCCUGUGUUGAUGGUUACUCAAGGAAGCUAAUAUGGUUUAAGGUUGGUCCAACGAACAACAACCCCAAAGUCAUUGCCAGGUAUUACCUUGAAGCUGUGGAAAGACUGAAGGGAUGCCCUAUGGUAGUAAGAGGAGACUGUGGAACUGAAAACUGUAGUGUUGCCCAAAUCCAAAUUGCCUUUCAUAUGAAUCAUGAUGACGACCAAUCAAAAGUUUCAUUUAUGGUCCUUCAACAGCUAACAUACGAGUUGAGGCAUUCUGGUCUCAGUGGUCUCAGUGGAGACGCUCUUGUUGUCAUUGGUGGAUAGAUGUUUGCAAGGUGAGAUUAUUUUUAAUUAAAUUUUACAGCGAACUUCAGCUGAGGAAACACAUGGUAUUUUCGCAGCUAUCUCUUUGUAGUUGCCUUCAUCAACACCCUGCCAACCUUGAAGUGGUAGAGGAAGGGAGGUCCAGUGGAGCUACUGAAACACCUUCAGCAAGGUAGCCGUCAACGUCAAUAACUACAGCUCCCGAGAGUAGUUACACUAAACACACAGUUACACUAAACACACAGAUUCGUCCUAUAUCUGCUAUUUACCUUUCAACAAGUUCCGCUUUUUUCUGUCAGUACCUCAGUGCUUGGUUGUUGUGUUGUUCUAACGGUGAAGCACCAGGAAUGUCAUCCUCAGUAAGUUCAACGUCAACACAUCCACCUUCAGCCAUAUCAUGUGCAUGUACGUACCAUCAAGAGUUUAAUAAAGAGUUUAAUAAACACUCUACAGCUGCUUGCUAGCUACCAGCUGCUAAAAGAGUACAUUACUCAUAGUCAGCCUUACCUUAACCUGUGUUCUUGUAAGUGCUAUUUUCUUUGAGGUGUAGCUCCUCUCUGUGCGCUUGAUUCUUGUACCGUUCAACCUUAAAAGUUCAAAUUUUCAUUUAGUAUUGCAUAAAUUGAUCAAGCACAUGGCAACUAAAGUGACACAGUUGAUAGUAAAAUGGGCGUGGCAGCAAGCACUUCCGUCUGUCCACAAACAACACUAUCAAAGGACAACGUUUUCGCAUCAUACAAAAUAAAAUAAUCCUUUGUAUUGCUUUGUCCAUAUUGCUUUGUCCAAACUCCAUCUAAAUAGUAAAUGUGUGAUCAUUGUCCCAUUUGAUUGAGAAUCAUACAACUUAAUUUUUUGUAUCGAUACUUUUUUUUUUGCAUUCCGAGAUACAACUGUCUAGCAGGUGCUGUGAUGUGAACUGGCUAUCUCAACGUUGCAUCCCGUUGCAUCACCUCGCAUGAUUCGCUAAUGAUGAAAAUCCAGUUUGAUGACAAUACACUCCAUCUUGACUCCAUCUUGUUGUCGUUUUCAGGAUGAUGGCCCAAAAUGAUAUGUGUGUUGGAUCAAUCUCGGUAGAUGACGAGGUGAAUUUGUCUAAACUUUCACAACUGUCAAUAACUGACAACUGUCAAUAACUGUCAAUGCACAACUACUCAGUUGGAGUCUUGCCAGGAGCGCAUGGAAGUUGUUCAGAUCAUUGUACAGAUCAUUGUAUGCCAAUGAAAUGAAAAGGGACCUUAAUGCAGCAAUAAUUAAAUUAAGCAAAACAUGGGCUUUUUUCCUUCCUCUACCUACACGUUGAAGAAAACACGUUGAAGAAAAGAAACUCACCGAACGUACAAUGAAAUUUAUGUCUGAAAUUCCUUGGGAAAAUCAGUACUUCUUCACAAUUACAGGCCCCUUCCGAAGCCUCCACAACCUCCACCACCGUGAGUUUAGUCCAAUCACUAUAAUUAUUUAUAGUUAUUAUGAAUAAGAAGAAGAAGUCCAAGCGUGUCAGGAAACAGGGGGUACGUACCACCCUGAUCCUCACUGACCCUCACCAGGUGAGUUUACCAAGUCAUUACUUGAGACCUGAUCUACCGACUUCACCUGAUCUACCUGAUCUACCGACUCCCAAGAGGAAGAAGACGAUGUAACUUAUGACAAUGAUGGCUACUUAUGGAUCAAAGGAAUUCGUUACGGCAAAACGUGAACAAUUUUACUCUUAUUUUAAUCUCAUUUCAUUGUUAUUUUGUUAUUAAUUAAUUUUGUUCUGCAUUUAUCAUUAUAUAUGGCAUUUAUCAUCAUUAUAGUGAUGAGGAGGAAGAGGAAGAGACCUACUGUCGCUACCGUCAAUAGAAUGCCCAUACAACAAGGGUGCAACAUGUGUUGCCAUAACAACCAUGGUUAUUACGCUCACCCGUUUUUAUCAUUUUAAAUGCCCGGCCAGCGGUGAGAUAAAAUCCAAAGAGAUAAAAUCCAAAAAUUUUUUUUUUAUGGAUCAGCCUAUCAUAUGGUAUAAAGGCUUGACUAAGCUUGAUUUUCACAUCAUAUGAAUGUAACAGUGCUAAGAUAUAUCUAUAUCGGUGAACGAUCUAUGAAAUUUACAAACUGUUCAUUACUGCUAAUUCUAUUUUAGCUAUACUAUACUUACACUACUGAUAUUCUAGCUAUACUAUACUACUUGCCAGAGUCACACAGUGAGCCCUCUCCUGGUCUUUCACCGUCCUGGUCCAUAGCACUAGCGUCUAGGUCCAUGUCAUGCACAUGUCCUCAGUCCCAGACAGUUCAUCAGCGUCUGGCAUAAAGCUGGUAGCCGGUAUCCAUAGGCACUGUCAUCACCAGAGCUGUUCAAGCACAUCGGCACAAGUAAACAAUCUAGCCAUAGCUUCGUGCGGUAAGAUGCUAAUGAAAUUUUAACAUAGCAACGUGGCUUGGAAAAUUCUAGACUAAAUUGCACGUGAUUCUACAGCUCUUCCUCUAUACAGGGAUGUGCGUAGUUCGAGCUACUUCCGAAGUAUCGCAGAAUUAGAAUUUUGCAAAAAAGUCACAACUACCCGUGGGCCCCAAAUUGAGGGUGGAAGUUUUUGAGGGCAAAGGAAGAGGAGUUGCCCUUGAGGCAAUACCGAAGGGGUCCUUCGUGUGUGAGUACGUGGGCAAGCUGCUCAAUUUUGCAUUGACGAAGGCUGCAGAGAAAGCCUAUGAGCAGCAGGGAGUCGGAUGCUACAUGUAUUAUUUUAAGGAUGACUCCAAGUGAAUGUGGUGAGCCUAAUUUAUAUUAUGUAUAAUUUCAUAUAUUUAAAUUAAAAUUAAUAGUAUUGAUGCCACUAAAAAAGGCCGUUUGAUAAAUCACUCUCGCUUAGCACCAAAUUUAAUCCCCAAGAAAUUUGGUGAAGAGCUGCUGUACGAUUAUGGAGAGGAAGACAGAGAUGUCAUAGGGGGGUGGACUGGACCACCUCCAUAAAACAAAAAAAAAGGGGGGUGAGAGGCGACAGCCUCCAUAACCAAAAUG
Halichondria panicea is the source of this 3630-nucleotide long non-coding RNA. RefSeq lists it as uncharacterized. The record is from RefSeq and is a predicted model, not a curated record. NCBI's taxonomy places the organism in Eukaryota, Metazoa, Porifera, Demospongiae, Suberitida, Halichondriidae. The transcript has 8 exons.